This 2210-nucleotide long non-coding RNA is filed under the name Nicotiana benthamiana. RNAcentral describes it as "long non-coding RNA (NBEN_LNC039849)". Lineage: Eukaryota; Viridiplantae; Streptophyta; Magnoliopsida; Solanales; Solanaceae. The record is from RNAcentral.
CCAUCUCCCGUCUCUCACCCCACACUCAAAAAACUCUAACGUCACAUCCCUCCGCCGUGCGCUGCCGGCCGGAAAUCGCCGCUACCACCGGCAGUGUCCCAAAUGGCACCAAAAUUACACCAAUGAUUCUCCACGCCCUCCCUUAUCCAAAUCUGUAACCCGUUUCCCUCAAAUAGUAUCUCAUCGAAUAUUCAAUUGAAACGCCGGCUGCUCUGCCGUGUACGGCGGCGCCGACACCAAAUUGUCUCAAAAUAACACUACAUAGCUACCAUCUCCCCUUCGUGCCAAAUCUUCAUGCAUAACCCACAGAAUCCCUCUCGAUCUCGUCAAAUGUUAAAUCUAAAGUUAGAAUCCUCAACUUCGCAGAGGUCACUAGGACGGACAUGCAUGGGUUACUGAGACGAUUUAAGCGGGGUAAGGGGUGUACUUGCAUAUUUCUCAAAAGGAAUGAUCAUUUGACACACAUUUCUGGGUUCAAAUUAGAAUGAGAAUGGUUCUGUCGGGGUCAUUGGUUGCUGUAUAGCAGGUAUUCAUUCGCCUCCUCUUGUUUUGUUGUUUUUAAAAUAAGGAAAUCCUCUGAGUUUGUGUUUAGUCUCCCUCUGUUAUGAUUAAGAUGGUUUAGUUUAUGAGUUUUCAUAGAUGUCAUUAGCUUUUCUAUUCGUCUAAGUUGGUUUAGCUUGCCCUGAGCAAAGGGCGUUUGAAAAUCAAUUUGUUAUUCUCUUAUUGGUUCUUUGGCAAUUCGAUUUAAUGUUUGGCCUUCAUUUAUCAGUGUAUCUUUCUUUAAGUCAUUAUUUUCCCGUUGCUUGAUUUAAUUGUUAGUCCUUAGGCAAUCAUUUUGUUCGUGAUUUAAGUUUUAGCUGUUUAUUCUCUUCUUCUACUUCUGGACAAUGAAAAAGUACCAUAGGUCUGUCGAGAUUUCUGAAUUGGGUUGAAGUAGGUUGAACAAAGCCUAGUUAAGAAUUAAUGCUAAGGUAGGUAAAGUAAUUUAAGGGUAACUUGGGUAGUUUAAGCUAAAGAAUAUUGUAAUAAUGGAAUAGAAGUCUCUAGAGGUUUUUAGUGUGGGGGUUCAAAUUGGAUUUCAGGAUUUUUGGUAAUAAACUUGGUGAACAAGUCACAAAAUUAGGGGCCUAAGGGGUAAAAUAAAAUCCGAAGGGUUGCCCUAUUGGCUUGCCUAAAAAGAUACCUUUUCUUACCUUAGAAGGCAUACCUAAUUGAUAGAAAAAUCAGAAAAAUCAAAAGAAUCGAAGAGCUAAAAUCUUGUUGACAAAAAUUCCAAGAGCUGAAAUAUAGAGUUAAGAUUUCCAAAAGCUAAAAAUUCAGAAAAAAUCGAAACAUGCUAGAAAAACAGAAUUUACUGUUUCAUUAUGUCUUUUCUUUGAGCUGUAAGGAUUUGGAUCUACUGAAGUCAUUUUCUGGUUUUUGACGGGUUUUAAAUGGAUUGAAAUUCGAUUUUUCAAGCUGGUUUUUGUAAGUUGGAUUUGGUGAUACAUCUGGGGGUUUCAAGCUUGAAGUUGGGUUUGGAUCUUGAGUUCUUGCUGUUGAUUUCUACUACUAUUGAUUACUCCUUCCACUUCUUAUUUUCCUUACUCCCCAUGUACUUAUUCUCGAUUGUGGAGAUGUACUCCUCUGUUUGAAGAUGAAAUAAGAGCUGAAGCAUGAAAAUUCUCUCUGUUUCUUUGUUUUUUUAUUUAUCUUUACUAUUAGCCUUUGGUCUAAAUUAGCUUUUCGUAUAUGGUUGUAAUAGUCAAUAGAAAUAACAAAGUAUUCAUGAUUUAGUCUGCUGGAUGUUCCUUUUAAUUACAUUCUAUUAUUGUUCAAUGAGGCAGAGGCAUCUAUCUUUGUGUAGUAAAUAUCCUGUUAUUCGUAGUAGUUAGACAGGGAUGAACCAGGUUUAUUUGGUACAUGAUAUUCAUAUUGCUUUGUGUUUCUCCUUGCCGGGUUAUUUUCCCUGAAUACAGUAGUAUGAGAAAGUUCAUAUUGAAAAUGUUUGACAUAGGUUUCAAUGAAAAGUCAAAUGAAGCUACGUUAGUCUUUGAUUUGAUAUUUAGUCUAUUUGGAUGAUGAAAUGUAGAUGUAACAUUUCAGAAGAACAGUUCAUGUAUGGAGAUCAAUCUUUUAAAAUAUGCUCAUGUUUGAUUAUAUCAGUUAUCGUGCACUCGGUAUGAGUUUUCCUUGCACAUAUGCUUGUUUUCGGAUAUGUUAAGUUAGUU